RNAcentral lists this ribosomal RNA (492 nucleotides) under uncultured bacterium. Its description in RNAcentral is "partial 16S ribosomal RNA". It matches the Rfam family "Bacterial small subunit ribosomal RNA", at positions 36 to 507 of the family's 1533-position model. The record is from RNAcentral.
CUUUCCCUCUUUCUUUAGGCCUAACACAUGCAAGUCGAACGGCAGCACAGUAAGAGCUUGCUCUUACGGGUGGCGAGUGGCGGACGGGUGAGGAAUACAUCGGAAUCUACUUUUUCGUGGGGGAUAACGUAGGGAAACUUACGCUAAUACCGCAUACGACCUACGGGUGAAAGCAGGGGAUCUUCGGACCUUGCGCGAUUGAAUGAGCCGAUGUCGGAUUAGCUAGUUGGCGGGGUAAAGGCCCACCAAGGCGACGAUCCGUAGCUGGUCUGAGAGGAUGAUCAGCCACACUGGAACUGAGACACGGUCCAGACUCCUACGGGAGGCAGCAGUGGGGAAUAUUGGACAAUGGGCGCAAGCCUGAUCCAGCCAUACCGCGUGAGUGAAGAAGGCCUUCGGGUUGUAAAGCCCUUUUGUUGGGAAAGAAAAGCAGCAGGUUAAUACCCCGCUGUUCUGACGGUACCCAAAGAAUAAGCACCGGCUAACUUCGUG